Molecule: ribosomal RNA, 660 nt
Filed under: uncultured bacterium
Lineage: Bacteria
Description: bacterial SSU rRNA
Rfam family: Bacterial small subunit ribosomal RNA
Source: RNAcentral
AGUGGCGGACGGGUGAGUAACGCGUGAGAAUCUGCCUUGGGGUCGGGGACAACCACUGGAAACGGUGGCUAAUACCGGAUAAGCCGAUUGGUGAAAGAUUUAUUGCCCGAAGAGGAGCUCGCGUCUGAUUAGCUAGUUGGUGAGGUAAGAGCUCACCAAGGCAGCGAUCAGUAGCUGGUCUGAGAGGACGAUCAGCCACACUGGGACUGAGACACGGCCCAGACUCCUACGGGAGGCAGCAGUGGGGAAUUUUCCGCAAUGGGCGAAAGCCUGACGGAGCAAGACCGCGUGAGGGAGGAAGGCUCUUGGGUUGUAAACCUCUUUUCUCAGGGAAGAAGCUCUGACGGUACCUGAGGAAUCAGCCUCGGCUAACUCCGUGCCAGCAGCCGCGGUAAUACGGAGGAGGCAAGCGUUAUCCGGAAUUAUUGGGCGUAAAGCGUCCGCAGGUGGCGAUUCAAGUCUGCUGUCAAAGCACGGGGCUUAACUCCGUAAAGGCAGUGGAAACUGAAUAGCUAGAGUGCCGUAGGGGUAGAGGGAAUUCCCGGUGUAGCGGUGAAAUGCGUAGAGAUCGGGAAGAACAUUGGUGGCGAAAGCGCUCUACUGGACGGCAACUGACACUCAGGGACGAAAGCUAGGGGAGCGAAUGGGAUUAGAUACCCC